Molecule: ribosomal RNA, 779 nt
Filed under: uncultured bacterium
Lineage: Bacteria
Description: bacterial SSU rRNA
Rfam family: Bacterial small subunit ribosomal RNA
Source: RNAcentral
AGAGUUUGAUCCUGGCUCAGGAUGAACGCUGGCGGCGUGCUUAACACAUGCAAGUCGAACGGUGAACACGGAGCUUGCUCUGUGGGAUCAGUGGCGAACGGGUGAGUGACACGUGAGCAACCUGCCCCUGACUCUGGGAUAAGCGCUGGAAACGGCGUCUAAUACUGGAUAUGUGACGUGAUCGCAUGGUCUGCGUCUGGAAAGAAUUUCGGUUGGGGAUGGGCUCGCGGCCUAUCAGCUUGUUGGUGAGGUAAUGGCUCACCAAGGCGUCGACGGGUAGCCGGCCUGAGAGGGUGACCGGCCACACUGGGACUGAGACACGGCCCAGACUCCUACGGGAGGCAGCAGUGGGGAAUAUUACACAAUGGGCGCAAGCCUGAUGCAGCAACGCCGCGUGAGGGACGACGGCCUUCGGGUUGUAAACCUCUUUUAGCAGGGAAGAAGCGAAAGUGACGGUACCUGCAGAAAAAGCGCCGGCUAACUACGUGCCAGCAGCCGCGGUAAUACGUAGGGCGCAAGCGUUAUCCGGAAUUAUUGGGCGUAAAGAGCUCGUAGGCGGUUUGUCGCGUCUGCUGUGAAAUCCGGAGGCUCAACCUCCGGCCUGCAGUGGGUACGGGCAGACUAGAGUGCGGUAGGGGAGAUUGGAAUUCCUGGCGUAGCGGUGGAAUGCGCAGAUAUCAGGAGGAACACCGAUGGCGAAGGCAGAUCUCUGGGCCGUAACUGACGCUGAGGAGCGAAAGGGUGGGGAGCAAACAGGCUUAGAUACCCUGGUAGUCCAA